UACGGGAGGCAGCAGCGGGGAAUAUUGCACAAUGGGCGCAAGCCUGAUGCAGCCAUGCCGCGUGUAUGAAGAAGGCCUUCGGGUUGUAAAGUACUUUCAGUCGUGAGGAAGGUGUUAAGGUUAAUAACCUUAGCAAUUGACGUUAGCGACAGAAGAAGCACCGGCUAACUCCGUGCCAGCAGCCGCGGUAAUACGGAGGGUGCGAGCGUUAAUCGGAAUUACUGGGCGUAAAGGGCACGCAGGCGGUUAAUUAAGUUGGAUGUGAAAUCCCCGGGCUUAACCUGGGAAUGGCAUUCAAGACUGGUUAGCUAGAGUCUUGUAGAGGGGGUUAGAAUUCCAUGUGUAGCGGUGAAAUGCGUAGAGAUGUGGAGGAAUACCGGUGGCGAAGGCGGCCCCUGGACAAAGACUGACGCUCAUGUGCGAAAGCGUGGGGAGCAAAC
Molecule: ribosomal RNA, 440 nt
Filed under: uncultured bacterium
Lineage: Bacteria
Description: bacterial SSU rRNA
Rfam family: Bacterial small subunit ribosomal RNA
Source: RNAcentral